This 253-nucleotide ribosomal RNA is filed under the name uncultured bacterium. RNAcentral's name for it is "partial 16S ribosomal RNA". It matches the Rfam family "Bacterial small subunit ribosomal RNA", at positions 524 to 776 of the family's 1533-position model. The record is from RNAcentral.
UACGGAGGGUGCAAGCGUUAUCCGGAUUCACUGGGUUUAAAGGGUGCGUAGGCGGGUAUAUAAGUCAGUGGUGAAAGCUCCGAGCUUAACUUGGAAACUGCCAUUGAUACUGUAUAUCUUGAAUGUCGUAGAGGUUAGCGGAAUGUUGCAUGUAGCGGUGAAAUGCUUAGAUAUGUUACAGAACACCAAUUGCGAAGGCAGCUAACUAUGCGAUAAUUGACGCUGAGGCACGAAGGUCAGGGGAGCAAACGGG